CAGAAGGGAAAAGGCACCAAACCACGACAUCUUCAGUUGAUUACAAUGCCUUUAAGUCUUUGAUAAGUCAAAGAGGAUGAGACUAAACAGAGGGCUAUUCAGGACUUAACCAGUUCACCAGUAACUUGGCAACUGACGAAGUGGUUGACGUGCCUUAUCAUCUGUCAAGGUGCACCAUUCUUAAGGAAAUGGCCUUCGACUCUAAACAGUGGGCUGGACUCCAGCAAGAUGAGUGAACUUUUUAGCUGAUGUCAUUUUAAUUAUGGGGCUGGAUGGGAGGCCCCCUAAUCAUAUUAGCUGAACUCUCCAGCCAGACCGCAAUAGAUCACGUUUCACAUAAAUCUGCUUGAGGUUGUGACCUGUUUCUAAAUACAAUACAUUGCAGAGACUUCAAUGAAAAGUACUUGUUUGUCCACUUAUAUUAGAUUUGUGUACUAACAUAUCAUGAAUUAGCAUUUUAUUCAUCAACUGGUUCAUGUAAUCAGGACUAGCUUGAUGGGGUUAACUGUCCCAGUCUUAACAUUAUCUUCCUGGGCUAACAGUGGAUGUCUUUAUUAAUGAUUCCAGCUAGAUGUAUAACUCUAUAGCUGUAUUAAAUACUAACUCUUAACAGCUUUGUUCUUUUGACAAUUUUCAGAUGCCUUUGCUGUUUACUGAAGCAAUCCACUGGGACCUUGCAGGCUUCAAAUAGCUUUUGGCCUUUGGAGAAGUUCAUGUUAAAGAAGCUCUGAAGAAGGCCUUGAGGCAGAUUCUUAAUAAAAAGCAGUGAUACUAACGUGA
Molecule: long non-coding RNA, 780 nt
Organism: Oncorhynchus nerka (sockeye salmon)
Lineage: Eukaryota; Metazoa; Chordata; Actinopteri; Salmoniformes; Salmonidae
Exons: 3
Source: RefSeq, a predicted model, not a curated record